CUCCAGCCGAGGCUGCUCCCAUGACCCCUGCAAGGCUCCUCUGCCUGUCCAGGUGGGGGACAGGGGUUCCCCGGCAACCUGCUGGUCCCGAAGGAGGGCAGGGACAAAGGAACUCCGGAGGAGGGGGUGGCUCUCAAGGUUGCCAGCCUCAUCAUUUUGCAGAGGAGGAAACUGAGGCAUGCAGAGGUUAAGCGGUUUGUCCAAGGCGCCUGAGCAGGAAGUGAGGAGUCGGAUUCUAAGCCUGAGUCAUUUCCACUACUGAGCUGCCUUCCCAGCGAGAGUAAGAUUAAGGGUCAACCAUCUGGUGAGGUUCAUGAAAGAGGCGACUUCUUGUUUCCUCAGUGUCUAAUGCCACUCCCCCAUUCAAACAAAAAUACAGAGGUACUGUGCUAUAGCUGUAUUUUAUGUAAGUAUAUUCCUCUGGGCUUAUCCAGAACCAAACCAUGCCUUGGGAAUGCUGGCACAACUCUUCAGCUAGAGCUGGAAUCAGGCGCAGAUCCCAAGCACAGCCUCUCAGAAACCCUGCUUUCAAGGAGGGGGCUGUGGCUCUCCGGUGUUCCACAUUAUCCUACCACCUCCCUCCUCUACCUGAAGAAAAAGACCCAACUUGUCUGUGAGCCUGAAGGAGAUGAGGAAACUCAAGCACCUUCCCUGGCAACAAGCAUCCCUCAGGAUCUGAGUACUGGAGGCCCCAUAGGCAGUGGUGCGACUACAGGUCAGAGAGACCUCACUCUAGCAUGCCUGAACAGAAGGAAGGAAAAGCUCCAGGCUUGGGUUCCAAGACCACCGCAAGGGGCUGGGCAUUUCUGAUUCCUACGUGUGUGGACAGAAACCAGGAGUCGCAUUGCUUUUGCCUAUAAGACCACUUGAAAUAACAAGACAAGAUAAUGGAGGAAGGGGAAAGAAUAAUUAGGAAUUUCUGUUACCUGUAUAUGUACAUUAUGAGAACUUUAUCUGCUCCUCACCUCCUCAGUCUGAAUAACAGAUUCAAAGGAAAUUUCCCCCAGUUUACUAGAUUUAUUAAUUUACCGAUGUCUGAUCAGUCAGCAAUUAUGAACACUUACUGUGCAGAGAACACACGUCCAUCUCCAUAGUAAAGAGGAAGCAGGUCAUGGGAGCGGAAAGAGCUCUAAGUAGAGGACUGGAAAUCCUAGGACCCAGUCCUAUCCUUCCACCAAAUAGCCAUGUGACCUUGGGCAAGAUACUUGCCUUAACUGGGUUUCAGUUUUCUCAUCUGUAAAUUAAGUGUGCAUGUGGGACGGCGUUGGAGUAGGUGCUCUUCAAGGUUCCUUUCUUCUAGCUCUAAUAUUCUUGGGCUCUAUGAGUCGUAAACAAGUUCAAAGAACACACCAGCACCAAACACAAAGGAUGAUCUCAGAGAGCAGGUGGGGCUAGGUACCAGCUCUAUUUCCUUGGAAUGCUGUACAUGUAUCUGUCUCAUUGCACCUGAGACCACAGACCACCUGAAGUCCAGGAAGUACGUGGUAGAAGGGUUCCAAUCAUGAAGGUGAUGGUUAAAGGCUAUAGCCUGAACCUGCUUAAAGCAUUAAGUUACUAUGACCAAUGAAGGGCAAGAAGUGAAAAGUCAGUGGUCCUGAGCUGGGUGCCUUUGGCGCCCCCUACUGGGCACCAAAGAGCCUGCUGGGCAGCUUCCAUUGCCUCAGCAGGCAGCAAGCAAGACUGAGAACAGGACUGUCACAGCUGUUUAAUAGGACUACCUUCCUGGUCUGUAGUCCGCUCUCUAUAAGAGUAUGUUUCACUCUCCAGAAUUACACAGACCAUUGGUCCACACAUUCAGAGGGCACUACGGUGCUGCUAUAGGACGUCUUAACCAAACAUCAAGGUGCAGAGUAAUAAACCUCAGGGUUCAGAACACCAGGUGCAGCCCAGAUGGAGAGGAGAGAAGAAAGCAACAAGCAGGUAUUUCGCUGUACAAAUCCCCAGUGGAGAGAAGGUCUUGGGAAAUGCAGCAGAAAAAUGUUGACUGCAGGUAGAGGAUGGAGCUGGGUUUGGGGGUAUGAACUGAGAGCCCCACUAAAAGAUCUACAGGCUGAUGCAGCUGCCCUAGGAGUUCAAAACACUCAUUCAUGUUCAGGGAUGAGGUACAGGAUACAGCCCCAACUGAGCAGCCCACUUUUGACCUUCUCCAGAGACCAUUAGUACCAACUGUAAACCAGGAUAUUCUGUGGUCCACUGAGCCAGCACCAAGACCUUAAACUCCCUUCAUUGUCCCUUAAAUGGACUUUAGGACCUGCUGCCAGAAACAUGUUCUUAGUCAAGUCAGACUGAGAGAAAAAGCUUCCUCAAGGGCCAUAUUGGAAGAACCGCCAUAUUCCCACUUUCCAUUCUCCAUCUCCCCUUCCUCAUGGCUGAGAAUGAGGUACAGGGUGACUCUGAAUUCGCUCUAAUUCAGUCUUGGGUAGCUGCAGCCCCAAGUCAUCAGGGUCAAAAAAUCUCCCACCAACAGCGUUUCUCUUCCCACAAGAGUUCUCCCCUGAUUCAAGCAGCACUACAGAGUUGUCUCCUAUCCCUGGAACCUUCUUGCCUUCUUUUCCACCUGGCUUCACUUGGGAAGUCCUGCACCCAUCCCAGAAGACACCUCAAGUGUGACUCAAGAAUAUGUCUUGCCUGGAGAGCUGAAGCACCUCCUGGGACACACAGAAGCCACACUAGGUGCACACCUUACCACCACCAGCGGCAAUAUUCAUUAGUCAUUCCCCGAGGAAGGAAAGUGACCCCCCUCCCCAACCCCAGAAACACUUCCCGGCCACUCUGGGAGGCUCCUAUCCAGGCUGGGAUGACUCUGGUUUCUUGAGUUGGUUUCUGCAGAAACAGGACUAACCAGGACUCCCAACUACUGUACUGCGAAGAAGCGCGCUGCAUUGCUGGGCAUGCCCCCAAGCUCGGCCUGCUGCCCCAUCAAUGCCUCCAUGUGUCCCCACUGGGCUGAGGAGGAGCCCUGGUCCCCCUGGAAUGCCUGAAGCUGGCUUGCCUGAGAUAGGCUGAAAGCAAGCGGACCACACCUCGGUCCAGCAAAGGCAGCCGGCAGCUACGCCGCGCGCUGGGCUGGCUCCCCGAGCUCUCUGCCACCCAGCGCUGUGCCCGGGAGCUCGGCUUUCCCGGGGAAGAAGAGCUAGCUUCCCCUAGGGCUCCUCCCCAUCUUGGAAGCCUAGGCACCCGGCCGAGGCCAGUAGCUUCCCAGGCCCGGAGCUGAGCCUGGUUCGCUGGGUGACUCCCCACUACCCCAGGCACAUCCCUCCUCACCUGCUCCGCCCCCUCCCAGCCCCGGUGCCCUCUCCCCAAACAGCUGACCUCCAGGACGCCCCCGACACCUUCUCUGCAACUAUGAGGGCUAUCGCCCCCGCACCUCCGCUCCCACCUCUCCUCCACCUCCGGCCCCGCACCCGCCUCUACCCCAGCCCGCGGGAGGCUCUGCGCGCCAGUCGAGUCCUGCGCCUCUUGGCAAGUUGGAAGCCAAGCCGCCGCCGCCUUAGCGGUCUCCGUCUUCCCCGAUUCCCGGGCGGCACCCCCGCCAGCCCGGCGGGCGGAUCGGGGUGGGGCGCAAAGGGCGGGAGAAACUUUCUCUGCCUGAGUGGGUGAGGGGCACCGGAGCGGGU
Orcinus orca (killer whale) is the source of this 3617-nucleotide long non-coding RNA. RefSeq lists it as uncharacterized. Lineage: Eukaryota; Metazoa; Chordata; Mammalia; Artiodactyla; Delphinidae. The transcript is spliced from 3 exons. The record is from RefSeq and is a predicted model, not a curated record.